AUCUAACCCCGACAGGAUCGAUAUCCUUUGCCUGGCUUUUUUUAGACAGGUAAAGAUAAAGAGUAUGGCGGGAACAAAU
RNAcentral lists this non-coding RNA (79 nucleotides) under Flavobacterium johnsoniae. RNAcentral describes it as "Flavo-1 RNA". It matches the Rfam family "Flavo-1 RNA". Lineage: Bacteria; Pseudomonadati; Bacteroidota; Flavobacteriia; Flavobacteriales; Flavobacteriaceae. The record is from RNAcentral. RNAcentral also lists the same sequence under 1 other name.